RNAcentral lists this transfer RNA (76 nucleotides) under Cyclocheilichthys heteronema. RNAcentral describes it as "tRNA-Leu". It matches the Rfam family "tRNA". Rfam says of the family: Transfer RNA (tRNA) molecules are approximately 80 nucleotides in length. Their secondary structure includes four short double-helical elements and three loops (D, anti-codon, and T loops). Further hydrogen bonds mediate the characteristic L-shaped molecular structure. tRNAs have two regions of fundamental functional importance: the anti-codon, which is responsible for specific mRNA codon recognition, and the 3' end, to which the tRNAs corresponding amino acid is attached (by aminoacyl-tRNA synthetases). tRNAs cope with the degeneracy of the genetic code in two manners: having more than one tRNA (with a specific anti-codon) for a particular amino acid; and 'wobble' base-pairing, i.e. permitting non-standard base-pairing at the 3rd anti-codon position. Lineage: Eukaryota; Metazoa; Chordata; Actinopteri; Cypriniformes; Cyprinidae. The record is from RNAcentral.
ACUGGGGUGGCAGAGCAUGGUAAAUUGCGAAAGGCCUAAGCCCUUUUUACCAGAGGUUCAAAUCCUCUUCUCAGUU